Molecule: ribosomal RNA, 261 nt
Filed under: uncultured bacterium
Lineage: Bacteria
Description: partial 16S ribosomal RNA
Rfam family: Bacterial small subunit ribosomal RNA
Source: RNAcentral
UACGUAGGGGGCGAGCGUUGUCCGGAAUUACUGGGCGUAAAGGGUGCGUAGGUGGCCUUUUAAGUUGGAUGUGAAAUACCCGGGCUUAACCUGGGGGGUGCAUCUAAUACUGGAAGGCUAGAGUGCAGGAGAGGAAAGCGGAAUUCCUAGUGUAGCGGUGAAAUGCGUAGAUAUUAGGAGGAACACCAGUGGCGAAGGCGGCUUUCUGGACUGUAACUGACACUGAGGCACGAAAGCGUGGGGAGCAAACAGGAUUAGAAA